CUGAUACACACGGGCAAACCCGCGAGCACGGGGCCAGGGGCAGCUCCUGCCAAUUGGGAGAAACCGGGCACUCAGGGAGGGUAACGCAAGCCUAAGGAUAAUUCUUGCAACCGGUAAAGUGGUCUAAGACACAAUUUCAAAACUGCAGUUUUCAUCGUUCUGUAUCAUUCCAUUGCUUCCAGUGACAACACAACACGGUACCAUCGCUGCAAGUGGCCAGUACCCCCAGGGGACCGUACACAAGAGAAAGAAAAGGGGAGGCACAGAAGCCGGCACUGAGGGCGCACACACCUGUGAGAAAGAGCGGUAAUCGAGUCAGCGCUUUUCCUACCCAAAGUUUGGAGCCGCCGGGGUAUUUGCACUCUAGGUGUCUCCUGAAAACACUCCAAGGUGUCCCUUCUACACUUGGUCACUGCUAAGCGCUUGAAAAAAUAAGAUCACUUUUCUGUCAGAGGAAAUACUCUGUGUGUGUGUGUGUGUGUGUGUGUGUUUUAAUUAUUGCCUUUUGAUAAUACUGAUUUUCUAUGUUUUGUGGUUGAUUGUAUGAAAUUAAACAUGUUAGAAAUAACAGCAACUAAGAACUGAAGAAUUUUUCACCUCACGAAGUACUUCUAUAAUAUUUAGUGAAAAAGCACAACAGAGCUAAAGUAUGUAUAUAUGUACUAUAUAUAUAUAUAAAAAUACAUGUAUCUCCACUUGUAUACCCACUGAAGAAAGACUAGAAAAAAAUUAAAAUAAUGGUUGCAGUUUUGUUGUUCAAGGUAA
Ailuropoda melanoleuca (giant panda) is the source of this 765-nucleotide long non-coding RNA. RefSeq lists it as uncharacterized. The transcript has 2 exons. Lineage: Eukaryota; Metazoa; Chordata; Mammalia; Carnivora; Ursidae. The record is from RefSeq and is a predicted model, not a curated record.